GUUUAGUUAUGGAAAGAAGAUGGGAAGCAUCCACAAUCAAAAAUUGAAGAAUUAGUCUUACAGCUAAUGCCAUAAUUGAUUCACAAGGCGUUUAAUGGCCCGGAAUGAAAUCGCUAAAAGCGUCUCAAGGCGGUUUCAACGGAUUGGGAUGCAUGGUUUGAAGAGAUCGGUUGAGUCACAAGGCGUAUGAAGUCGUCCGUUUGACAUUUUUCGGUUGCAAACUUUUUUAGCUUCAUUUGGAAAACAUUCCACUUUCUCAAAUUGUAUACGUUUUGUGUUUUGAUUCGGUUUUGUUUUGUUUUGUGUUUGAUUCGGUAAACGUUGUUGAAACGUUUUUAAUAUAAGUUAGAAUAAAAAUAUUUUUAAUGUGGUUAUCGCACCGCAUUUUCAAUCAAA
This is a long non-coding RNA of Helianthus annuus (common sunflower), 396 nucleotides long. RefSeq lists it as uncharacterized. The record is from RefSeq and is a predicted model, not a curated record. The transcript is spliced from 2 exons. Lineage: Eukaryota; Viridiplantae; Streptophyta; Magnoliopsida; Asterales; Asteraceae.